GGAAGUAAAAGUCAUAACAAGGUUUCCGUAGGUGAACCUGCGGAAGGAUCAUUAUUGAAUGAAACACUUCUGGCUUUAUGCUGUUGUGCUGGCCCUUUGGGCAAUGUGCACACGGCUCUGGUCACUUGUUUCUUCUGUUCCACCUGUGCACUGCCUGUAGACACGCUGUGUCUAUGAUAUUUGUUAACACACAACAAUGUUAGUUGGCAUGUUAUAUAUAAUAAUAAAAUAUACAACUUUCAACAACGGAUCUCUUGGCUCUC
This 263-nucleotide unclassified non-coding RNA is filed under the name plant metagenome. RNAcentral's name for it is "partial contains small subunit ribosomal RNA, internal transcribed spacer 1, and 5.8S ribosomal RNA". The stretch from base 1 to 54 matches the Rfam family "Eukaryotic small subunit ribosomal RNA", at positions 1778 to 1831 of the family's 1831-position model. The record is from RNAcentral.